Molecule: ribosomal RNA, 495 nt
Filed under: uncultured bacterium
Lineage: Bacteria
Description: partial 16S ribosomal RNA
Rfam family: Bacterial small subunit ribosomal RNA
Source: RNAcentral
GAUGAACGCUGGCGGCGUGCCUAAUACAUGCCAGUCGAGCGAACGGACGAGAAGCUUGCUUCUCUGAUGUUAGCGGCGGACGGGUGAGUAACACGUGGAUAACCUACCUAUAAGACUGGGAUAACUUCGGGAAACCGUAGCUAAUACCGGAUAAUAUUUUGAACCGCAUGGUUCAAAAGUGAAAGACGGUCUUGCUGUCACUUAUAGAUGGAUCCGCGCUGCAUUAGCUAGUUGGUAAGGUAACGGCUUACCAAGGCAACGAUGCAUAGCCGACCUGAGAGGGUGAUCGGCCACACUGGAACUGAGACACGGUCCAGACUCCUACGGGAAGCAGCAGUAGGGAAUCUUCCGCAAUGGGCGAAAGCCUGACGGAGCAACGCCGCGUGAGUGAUGAAGGUCUUCGGAUCGUAAAACUCUGUUAUUAGGGAAGAACAUAUGUGUAAGUAACUGUGCAAAUCGUGACGGGACCUAAUCAGAAAGCCACGGCUAACUACG